Molecule: ribosomal RNA, 730 nt
Filed under: uncultured fungus
Lineage: Eukaryota; Fungi
Description: eukaryotic LSU rRNA
Rfam family: 5.8S ribosomal RNA (bases 272-425)
Source: RNAcentral
AAGUCGUAACAAGGUUUCCGUAGGUGAACCUGCGGAAGGAUCAUUAUAGAAAAUGACGUGAGCUCUUAACGGAGUUCUCUCAAAGUGUUGGAGGGGAAGGCCUGCGCUUAAUUGCGCGGCUGUUUUUAAUCUCCUCCGCCUUUGAUACACACAUUGGAGUUUCUACUUUUUUGUUCUCUUUGGGAGGGUUCUACUCUCCCAGAGGUAAACACAAACAAUCUUUUAUUAUACUAUUAACACAGUCAAAUGAAUUUUAAAACAAAAUAUUCAAAACUUUCAACAACGGAUCUCUUGGUUCUCGCAUCGAUGAAGAACGCAGCGAACUGCGAUACGUAAUGUGAAUUGCAGAAUUCCGUGAAUCAUCGAAUCUUUGAACGCACAUUGCGCCCCUUGGUAUUCCGGGGGGCAUGCCUGUUUGAGCGUCAUUUCCCUCUCAAACUUUACGUUUGGUAGUGAGCGAUACUCUGUAGUUUUUCUACUGGAGUUUGCUUGAAAAUGGGAGGCCAUAGGCGAAGCAUUGCUUUCUAAUCCUGCGGCCCCUCUGCUUACUUCCCCUUGUGGGUUGUGGUAGGGGGAAAGCGGGAGGCGCCUUGCCACGAUAGUCGUAUUAGGUUUUACCGACUCGGCGAAAGUGAAGAGGUUUGCUUUCUAAAAGGAGCAGGCAGCGUCUGGCUUGACAAAAUUCUCAAAGUUUGACCUCAAAUCAGGUAGGAUUACCCGCUGAACUUAA